Molecule: long non-coding RNA, 544 nt
Organism: Arabidopsis thaliana (thale cress)
Lineage: Eukaryota; Viridiplantae; Streptophyta; Magnoliopsida; Brassicales; Brassicaceae
Product: other RNA
Exons: 1
Source: RefSeq
UAGAGUGACCUAACGUGUUGCCUCCCUUUCGUAGAAAGCCUAGAUCCGGAACUGUAGAUGAACUCAAUGAUAGGUUCAGAAGUUGGGCCUUAUAUAUGGGUUUUUAUAAGGCUUAGUGUUUGGCCUGUUUACUUUAGUAAUGUCUUUUAUUUAAACUCUUCUUUAGUCAUUGAAAAACACUUAUCGAUUAUAAUCUUAAGAAUGUUUAUCUUCUUCAUCUUCUUUCUCCUUCCUUUCCUUUUCUGAAAUUCUUCUGCAUCUCAACCUAUUUCUUCUAUUAUCUCAUCUCUUUCUGUUACAUAUCUUGAUAAGCCAUUUUGGUACUUAUCAAUUGGUGCUUUCAUUGAGAGUUGAACUCAAGACUACUCAAGCUGCUCAAACCAAUCAAGCCGCCACAAUCUCUGAUCUAGAAGCAACACUCGAUCGAUUUGUUGAAAAGGUGGAGGAAAAGCUAGAUUCCAUCGUCCAAAGGCUUGAAGCUCAACAAGAGGAGUAUCGAAAAGGGAUUCGUGAAAUUUUUGCUACGCUUUUUCCGGUGAAUGCA